AUGUGAAGGGAUAUCGCGUGUGACUCAUCAUCUAGCCUCAGCAGCACAUGCUAGUCGUCCUGUCCAAACGGGACCUUUGCUGGCCUUGUAAUUCCCUUGAGAGGCUGUAGAGGUCAGGCUGACACUGCCAGAGUACAGAUGGUCAAGACAAUAGCCUCCAUGUACUGCAUCAGCUUAAAUGACCUUCAGUCUGAUUGACAAUCAGAGAUAGUGUUCCACUGUGACCGACCUUCACUUUAAUGACACCCUGUUGCUGGAUAAGAAGAGAGGUGGGUGAAGGGCUCAAGUAAACCAUGGCAGACAAAGAGAACCAGAUGGACUCCUCACUUUAGCUGUCAGCUGAUGUCAAUGCUGUGCUCCUGUCUGAAGAAUCCUCAUGAGGGACUGCAGCCAGACCUGUUCAACAUCUCCUCAGUCUUUGGGUGAUACCCUUAGCUUACAGCUUUCUUGUACGAUGGCAACCUUCAAAAGCACCAAAGGACUGGGGGGAAUGGGGUGAUCAAAAGAAAACUCUAAUUUUCUGUACUGCAUUUUCAUACAUUAAUUCUGUAUGCCACCUUAACAAUCUGCCCCUGAUAGCCUGUACCAACAAGAGGCAGCAAAAAUGUGUCUACAAAUACACAGAUGAAUAAAUUAAAUUAUUCCUUG
Molecule: long non-coding RNA, 648 nt
Organism: Polypterus senegalus (gray bichir)
Lineage: Eukaryota; Metazoa; Chordata; Cladistia; Polypteriformes; Polypteridae
Exons: 2
Source: RefSeq, a predicted model, not a curated record